Non-coding RNA from Schistosoma rodhaini, 45 nucleotides. NCBI's taxonomy places the organism in Eukaryota, Metazoa, Platyhelminthes, Trematoda, Strigeidida, Schistosomatidae. The record is from Rfam.
AUCUAGUUGACGAGUCCCAAAUAGGACGAAAUUUGUAUCCUAGAU